RNAcentral lists this ribosomal RNA (231 nucleotides) under uncultured bacterium. RNAcentral's name for it is "partial 16S ribosomal RNA". It matches the Rfam family "Bacterial small subunit ribosomal RNA", at positions 8 to 229 of the family's 1533-position model. The record is from RNAcentral.
AGAGUUUGAUCAUGGCUCAGGAUGAACGCUAGCGACGGGCUUAACACAUGCAAGUCGAGGGGCAGCAUGAACUUAGCUUGCUAAGUUUGAUGGCGACCGGCGCACGGGUGAGUAACGCGUAUGCAACUUACCUAUCAGAGGAGAAUAGCUCAUCGAAAGAUGAAUUAAUGCUCCAUAAAACAGGGGUCCCGCAUGGGAAUAUUUGUUAAAGAUUCAUCGCUGAUAGAUAGG